This 301-nucleotide ribosomal RNA is filed under the name uncultured bacterium. RNAcentral describes it as "partial 16S ribosomal RNA". It matches the Rfam family "Bacterial small subunit ribosomal RNA", at positions 509 to 807 of the family's 1533-position model. The record is from RNAcentral.
CAGUAGCCGCGGGAAUACGAAGGGGGCUAGCGUUGCUCGGAAUCACUGGGCGUAAAGGGUGCGUAGGCGGGUCUUUAAGUCAGGGGUGAAAUCCUGGAGCUCAACUCCAGAACUGCCUUUGAUACUGAAGAUCUUGAGUUCGGGAGAGGUGAGUGGAACUGCGAGUGUAGAGGUGAAAUUCGUAGAUAUUCGCAAGAACACCAGUGGCGAAGGCGGCUCACUGGCCCGAUACUGACGCUGAGGCACGAAAGCGUGGGGGGCAAACAGGAUUAGAUACCCCCGUAGUCCCUGUCUCUUAUAC